GACGAACGCUGGCGGCGUGCCUAAUACAUGCAAGUAGGACGCCGUCGCGAACGUGUGAGUAACGCGUAGGUAACUACCUAUUAGAGGGGGAUAACUAUUGGCAACGAUAGCUAAUACCGCAUACUAGUAGAUUGACCUGCGUUGUAUUCGGUCGUAGGUAGGGUAAUGCCCUACCUAGGCAACGAGAAAUAGCCGACCUGAUAUGGUGAUCGGCCAAACUUGGACUUGAGCAAGGGCCAGACUCCUACAGGAAGCAGCAGUAGGGAAACCUCGGCAAUGGGGGGAACGCUGAAGGAGCAACGACGCGUGAGUGAGGAAAGUGUUCGGAACGUAAAGCUCUGUGGUUAAGGAAGCGGUACUUAACCAGAAAGAAACGGGUAACUACGUGCCAGCAGCCGCGGUAAUUC
This 407-nucleotide ribosomal RNA is filed under the name uncultured bacterium. RNAcentral's name for it is "partial 16S ribosomal RNA". It matches the Rfam family "Bacterial small subunit ribosomal RNA", at positions 28 to 526 of the family's 1533-position model. The record is from RNAcentral.